UAGACAGCAGAACCACAGUAAUCAGAGGUUGACAUGAAUUAAAAGCCUACAGCCUCAGCAAAUAAACUACCGGAACCAGUUCAGCAAUCAGGCAACUGCAAUUAACUUUGUAAAGGAGCCAAUGAGACCUUUUAAAAAGACACCUCCAAAAUUAUCGUGAUGGCCACAAAUCUUGGAGAUCUUUCUACACAUCCAGCUCCUAUGUGAAGAUCAGAAUAUGCCUUAUGAAUUUGUAGCCUCCAAACAGGCUCUGAGGCAGACCUGUAGCAUCUCUGGGAAGAUCAUAGCAUUCUCUGUAACUACCAAAGAAGGAAAGUGACUUGAAGCUGAAAAGCAGAUCCAUUCUGUCAGC
RNAcentral lists this long non-coding RNA (352 nucleotides) under Homo sapiens (human). RNAcentral describes it as "non-protein coding lnc-LINGO2-6:1". The record is from RNAcentral. Lineage: Eukaryota; Metazoa; Chordata; Mammalia; Primates; Hominidae.